GAUGAAGAACGUAGCGAAAUGCGAUACUUGGUGUGAAUUGCAGAAUCCCGUAACCAUCGAGUCUUUGAACGCAAGUUGCGCCCGAAGCCAUUAGGCCGAGGGCACGCCUGCCUGGGCGUCACACGUCGUUGCCCCCCCAUCUACUCCUUCGGGAUUGCGGGGGGCGGAUGAUGGCCUCCCGUGCGCCACGCCGCGCGGUUGGCAUAAAUGCCAAGUCCUCGGCGACGCACGCCACGACAAUCGGUGGUUGCGAAACCUCGGUUGCCCGUCGUGUGCGGUCGUCGCGCAUCGAGGGCUCGAAAAAAUUGCCGGGUUCCGGCUCGGCUUUCAACGCGACCCCAGGUCAGGCGGGGUUACCCGCUGAAUUUAAGCAUAUCAAUAAGCGGAGGA
RNAcentral lists this unclassified non-coding RNA (390 nucleotides) under soil metagenome. RNAcentral describes it as "partial contains 5.8S ribosomal RNA, internal transcribed spacer 2, and large subunit ribosomal RNA". The stretch from base 1 to 121 matches the Rfam family "5.8S ribosomal RNA", at positions 35 to 154 of the family's 154-position model. The record is from RNAcentral.